ACGCUGGCGGCAGCUUUAAUACAUGCAAGUCGAGCGAGAAAGUUUCUUCGGAGACGAGUAAAGCGGCGAACGGGUGAGUAACGCGUAGGAAUCUACCAUUCAGCGGGGGAUAGCUCGGGGAAACCCGAAUUAAUACCGCAUACACCCUACGGGGGAAAGAAGGCCUCUCCUUGGAAGCUUUCACUGUUUGAUGAGCCUGCGUGAGAUUAGUUUGUUGGUGAGGUAAUGGCUCACCAAGACUACGAUCUCUAGCUGGUCUGAGAGGACGAUCAGCCACACUGGGACUGAGACACGGCCCAGACUCCUACGGGAGGCAGCAGUAGAGAAUAUUGGACAAUGGGGGCAACCCUGAUCCAGGCAUGCCGCGUGUGUGAAGAAGGCCUUAGGGUUGUAAAGCACUUUAGGUAAGGAAGAAAAGUUAAUAGUUAAUACCUGUUAACCGUGACAUUACUUACAGAAUAAGGACCGGCUAACUCCGUGCCAGCAGCCGCGGUAAUACGGAGGGUCCAAGCGUUAAUCGGAAUUACUGGGCGUAAAGCGCGCGUAGGCGGUACGCUAAGUUGGGUGUGAAAUCCCCGGGCUUAACCUGGGAACUGCAUUCAAAACUUGUGUACUGGAGUACGAAAGAGGCGAGUAGAAUUCAUGGUGUAGCGGUGAAAUGCGUAGAUAUCAUGAGGAAUACCAAUGGCGAAGGCAACUCGCUGGUUCGUAACUGACGCUGAGGUGCGAAAGCGUGGGUAGCAAACAGGAUUAGAUACCCUGGUAGUCCACGCCGUAAACGAUGAGAACUAGCCGUUGGAUCCUUGAGGUUCAGUGGCACAGCUAACGCAUUAAGUUCUCCGCC
RNAcentral lists this ribosomal RNA (844 nucleotides) under uncultured Gammaproteobacteria bacterium. RNAcentral describes it as "bacterial SSU rRNA". It matches the Rfam family "Bacterial small subunit ribosomal RNA", at positions 33 to 873 of the family's 1533-position model. The record is from RNAcentral. Lineage: Bacteria; Pseudomonadati; Pseudomonadota; Gammaproteobacteria.